AGGAUGAACGCUGGCGGCGUGCUUAACACAUGCAAGUCGAACGAUGAAGGCUGGAGCUUGCUCUGGCUGGAUUAGUGGCGAACGGGUGAGUAACACGUGAGUAACCUGCCCCAGACUCUGGGAUAAGCGCUGGAAACGGCGUCUAAUACCGGAUACGAGCUUCCACCGCAUGGUGAGGAGCUGGAAAGAUUUCGGUCUGGGAUGGACUCGCGGCCUAUCAGCUUGUUGGUGAGGUAAUGGCUCACCAAGGCGACGACGGGUAGCCGGCCUGAGAGGGUGACCGGCCACACGUGGACUGAGACCGACGGCCACGACUCCGUACGGGAGGCGAGCGAGGUAGGGGAAUAGUUGACAACGAAGUGGGACGACGAACGCCUGAAUGACAGACCAACGGCCGCGGUGGAGGGAACGACGGUCCGUUCGGUUAGUAACUACGUUUAGUAAGGUAGAAGCGUAGGUGUUUAUUCUACUU
This 472-nucleotide ribosomal RNA is filed under the name uncultured soil bacterium. Its description in RNAcentral is "bacterial SSU rRNA". It matches the Rfam family "Bacterial small subunit ribosomal RNA", at positions 26 to 470 of the family's 1533-position model. The record is from RNAcentral.